RNAcentral lists this ribosomal RNA (490 nucleotides) under uncultured bacterium. Its description in RNAcentral is "partial 16S ribosomal RNA". It matches the Rfam family "Bacterial small subunit ribosomal RNA", at positions 30 to 507 of the family's 1533-position model. The record is from RNAcentral.
AUUGAACGCUGGCGGCAGGCCUAACACAUGCAAGUCGAACGGUAACAGGAAGCAGCUUGCUGCUUUGCUGACGAGUGGCGGACGGGUGAGUAAUGUCUGGGAAACUGCCCGAUGGAGGGGGAUAACUACUGGAAACGGUAGCUAAUACCGCAUAACGUCGCAAGACCAAAGAGGGGGACCUUAGGGCCUCUUGCCAUCGGAUGUGCCCAGAUGGGAUUAGCUAGUAGGUGGGGUAACGGCUCACCUAGGCGACGAUCCUUAGCUGGUCUGAGAGGAUGACCAGCCACACUGGAACUGAGACACGGUCCAGACUCCUACGGGAGGCAGCAGUGGGGAAUAUUGCACAAUGGGCGCAAGCCUGAUGCAGCCAUGCCGCGUGUAUGAAGAAGGCCUUCGGGUUGUAAAGUACUUUCAGCGGGGAGGAAGGGAGUAAAGUUAAUACCUUUGCUCAUUGACGUUACCCGCAGAAGAAGCACCGGCUAACUCCGUG